CGCUGGCGGCGUGCUUAACACAUGCAAGUCGAGCGAUGAAACUACUUCGGUAGUGAAUUAGCGGCGAACGGGUGAGGAACACGUGAGGAAUCUGCCUUCUACACUGGGAUAACUCCGGGAAACCGGGGCUAAUACCGGAUAUGAAACUUGGUGGCAUCACCGAGUUUGGAAAGUUUUUCGGUACAGGAUGGGCAUGCGUCCCAUUAGCUAGAUGGUAAGGUAACGGCUUACCAUGGCAACGAUGGGUAGGGGUCCUGAGAGGGAGAUCCCCCACACUGGUACUGAGACACGGACCAGACUCCUACGGGAGGCAGCAGUGAGGAAUAUUGGUCAAUGGGCGCAAGCCUGAACCAGCCAUGCCGCGUGCAGGAAGACGGUCCUAUGGAUUGUAAACUGCUUUUAUACAGGAAGAAACCCUCCCACGUGUGGGAGCUUGACGGUACUGUAGGAAUAAGGAUCGGCUAACUCCGUG
This 472-nucleotide ribosomal RNA is filed under the name uncultured bacterium. Its description in RNAcentral is "bacterial SSU rRNA". It matches the Rfam family "Bacterial small subunit ribosomal RNA", at positions 34 to 507 of the family's 1533-position model. The record is from RNAcentral.